Molecule: ribosomal RNA, 253 nt
Filed under: uncultured bacterium
Lineage: Bacteria
Description: partial 16S ribosomal RNA
Rfam family: Bacterial small subunit ribosomal RNA
Source: RNAcentral
UACGGAGGGUGCGAGCGUUUGUCCGGAAUCAUUGGGCGUAAAGGGUGCGUAGGUGGCCAGGUAAGUUUGGUGUGAAAGCUCGGAGCUUAACUCCGAAAAGUCAUUGAAUACUAUCUGGCUGGAGGGUCGGAGGGGAGACUGGAAUUCUCGUGUAGCAGUGAAAUGCGUAGAUAUCAAGAGGAACACCAGUGGCGAAGGCGAGUCCCUGGACAUUUCCUGACACUGAGGCACGAAAGCUAGGGGAGCAAACAGG